This 281-nucleotide long non-coding RNA is filed under the name Ananas comosus (pineapple). RNAcentral describes it as "long non-coding RNA (ACOM_LNC016927)". The record is from RNAcentral. Lineage: Eukaryota; Viridiplantae; Streptophyta; Magnoliopsida; Poales; Bromeliaceae.
AUCACCGAGCGUGCACUACUGUACCGACUUCGAAUCGAAGUAUCCACCUAUACGAAUGUCGCAUCUGUCUCCUGACUGCGGAAGAAAGUCAUCCGGACCUAAGAAGGGUCCACCGGGUUAGUGUCUAACCCACAACUAAUAACCACUGAAUCCACAACCCCACAAAUAAUCCCACGGAGAUCGGUUUCCUAAAACUGAUUACCGUAACUCGCCGGAUGUCCCGAAAAUCGCACCGGGACUCUGUCGAGACCCACGAACUGUCCCGGAACGCACCGACUCGU